UGCUCAUCUGGAACAGCUGUGGACCUUACCUGCACAGAUCCUGAUGAUGUCAGACUGGUGGGAGGAGCCAGUCGCUGUAACGGUGAAGUACAGAUCAAACAUCAUGGAGAAUGGAGAGACGUGGAAUAUUAUGACCCUUUCACCCUGAAGGCAGCAGAUGUCAUAUGUCGUCGACUGGACUGUGGAUCUGCUGUUUCUGGGAGAACAUCUGAUCCAUCUGAUUCAUCUGAUCCUGUGUGGAUCAUCAGCCCCUCCUGUCUCCUCUCUACAUCUGCACCGACGGACUGUGUGACAACAGAUUCUGGGUUCUCUGACUCCGCCCUGUCCCUCACCUGUUCAGCCUCCAACGAUUACCUGUGUGUUUGACCCAUCGCCUGGAUUACUGACCUCUGGGUGCCGUUAGGAUUAUUCCGGCUCGGCCACGCUGGCCGACCGUUGACCCCGUCCACAGCCCAGACGUCUAGCCCCGAACUCAGCGUCUUCACAGAUUUAUUAAUCAUUCUGUGUUGUGCUUUAACCUUUGUGACGGUGCUCAAUAAACACACCAACUUUACGUCUGUCUUCUGGCCUUGCAUUUGGGUUCAGCCUUUGUACCAG
Long non-coding RNA from Sphaeramia orbicularis (orbiculate cardinalfish), 597 nucleotides. RefSeq lists it as uncharacterized. The transcript is spliced from 4 exons. NCBI's taxonomy places the organism in Eukaryota, Metazoa, Chordata, Actinopteri, Kurtiformes, Apogonidae. The record is from RefSeq and is a predicted model, not a curated record.